This is a non-coding RNA of Ctenopharyngodon idella (grass carp), 494 nucleotides long. NCBI's taxonomy places the organism in Eukaryota, Metazoa, Chordata, Actinopteri, Cypriniformes, Xenocyprididae. The record is from the annotation of a RefSeq genome assembly.
ACACAAUGAUGCUCCAAUCUGUCAUUCUGCUUUCUGCCUUUGCAUAUGCAACACAUGGAAAUGAAAUUAAACCAACCAAAACAGAGGAGUUCGCUGUUGAGGGUUCAAAUGUUAAAUUAUCCUGCAGUUAUUCAUCUGCAAAUACUCUUCACUGGUACCGUCAGUAUCCCGGAUCAGCUCCUGAAUUCCUUGUGCUCAUCUCAGACGGUACAAAACAAGCUCGGGAGUCUUAUGUAGAUUCCAGAUUCACUGCCAAAGUCACUAAAGUCAAAGAAAACUCUGUGGAUCUGGAGAUCUCCUCUGCUGCAGUAUCAGACUCUGCUCUGUAUUACUGUGCUCUGGAGCCCACAGUCACAGGAAACACUGUAACACUGUACAAAAACCUGACACAGAUGAAAAGCAUCAUCUCAACAGAGAGCAGGAAGUUUCUGAGUGACUUUAUGACUCAGUUCCUCCUGAGUAACUGCAGAAACUCAGAGCAUCAACACAACUGA